AGGCACGUAGCUCAGCGGGAGAGCACUACCCUGACACGGUAGGGGUCACGAGUUCAAUCCUCGUCGUGCCUACCA
RNAcentral lists this transfer RNA (75 nucleotides) under Deltaproteobacteria bacterium. Its description in RNAcentral is "tRNA-Val". It matches the Rfam family "tRNA". From Rfam's summary of the family: Transfer RNA (tRNA) molecules are approximately 80 nucleotides in length. The record is from RNAcentral. Lineage: Bacteria; Pseudomonadati; Myxococcota; Myxococcia. RNAcentral also lists the same sequence under 1 other name.